Molecule: ribosomal RNA, 591 nt
Filed under: Saccharomyces cerevisiae (brewer's yeast)
Lineage: Eukaryota; Fungi; Ascomycota; Saccharomycetes; Saccharomycetales; Saccharomycetaceae
Description: eukaryotic LSU rRNA
Rfam family: Eukaryotic large subunit ribosomal RNA
Source: RNAcentral
CCAACCGGGAUUGCCUUAGUAACGGCGAGUGAAGCGGCAAAAGCUCAAAUUUGAAAUCUGGUACCUUCGGUGCCCGAGUUGUAAUUUGGAGAGGGCAACUUUGGGGCCGUUCCUUGUCUAUGUUCCUUGGAACAGGACGUCAUAGAGGGUGAGAAUCCCGUGUGGCGAGGAGUGCGGUUCUUUGUAAAGUGCCUUCGAAGAGUCGAGUUGUUUGGGAAUGCAGCUCUAAGUGGGUGGUAAAUUCCAUCUAAAGCUAAAUAUUGGCGAGAGACCGAUAGCGAACAAGUACAGUGAUGGAAAGAUGAAAAGAACUUUGAAAAGAGAGUGAAAAAGUACGUGAAAUUGUUGAAAGGGAAGGGCAUUUGAUCAGACAUGGUGUUUUGUGCCCUCUGCUCCUUGUGGGUAGGGGAAUCUCGCAUUUCACUGGGCCAGCAUCAGUUUUGGUGGCAGGAUAAAUCCAUAGGAAUGUAGCUUGCCUCGGUAAGUAUUAUAGCCUGUGGGAAUACUGCCAGCUGGGACUGAGGACUGCGACGUAAGUCAAGGAUGCUGGCAUAAUGGUUAUAUGCCGCCCGUCUUGAACAACGGGACCAA